CCCUUAGAUGUUCUGGGCUGCACGCGCGCUACACUGAUGCGUUCAACGAGUUUAUGACCUUGCCCGAUAGGGUUGGGUAAUCUUUUUAAAUCGCAUCGUGAUGGGGAUAGAUUAUUGCAAUUAUUAAUCUUCAACGAGGAAUUCCUAGUAAACGCAAGUCAUCAACUUGCAUUGAUUACGUCCCUGCCCUUUGUACACACCGCCCGUCGCACCUACCGAUUGAAUGGUCCGGUGAAGCCUCCGGAUUGGCGCGCACCUCGGUGCCGCCGAGAAGUUGGCUAAACCUUACCAUUUAGAGGAAGGUGAAGUCGUAACA
Molecule: ribosomal RNA, 316 nt
Filed under: uncultured eukaryote
Lineage: Eukaryota
Description: partial 18S ribosomal RNA
Rfam family: Eukaryotic small subunit ribosomal RNA
Source: RNAcentral